Molecule: ribosomal RNA, 450 nt
Filed under: uncultured bacterium
Lineage: Bacteria
Description: partial 16S ribosomal RNA
Rfam family: Bacterial small subunit ribosomal RNA
Source: RNAcentral
GUGGGGAAUUUUGGACAAUGGGCGAAAGCCUGAUCCAGCCAUGCCGCGUGCAGGAUGAAGGCCUUCGGGUUGUAAACUGCUUUUGUACGGAACGAAAAGACUCCUUCUAAUAAAGGGGGUCCAUGACGGUACCGUAAGAAUAAGCACCGGCUAACUACGUGCCAGCAGCCGCGGUAAUACGUAGGGUGCAAGCGUUAAUCGGAAUUACUGGGCGUAAAGCGUGCGCAGGCGGUUAUAUAAGACAGAUGUGAAAUCCCCGGGCUCAACCUGGGAACUGCAUUUGGGACUGUAUAGCUAGAGUACGGUAGAGGGGGAUGGAAUUCCGCGUGUAGCAGUGAAAUGCGUAGAUAUGCGGAGGAACACCGAUGGCGAAGGCAAUCCCCUGGACCUGUACUGACGCUCAUGCACGAAAGCGUGGGGAGCAAACAGGAUUAGAUACCCUAGUAGUCC